GACCAAUACAGAUGUACCAUAAUACUAAGGCUAACCAGAGCUGCCCGUACUACUAUGACUGAAAUAGAGUUUGUGUCACAAAUCCCACCCUUUUCCUGAUAUAGUGCCCUUCUGAACAGGGCCCAUAGGGCUUUGGUCAACAGUAGUGCACCAUGCAGGGAAUAAAGUGCAGUUUGGGACGUAAACAAAUAUAUUUUGUUUCAAAACUUCCAACUGGCAUAAAAUUCCAGUAAUAAUAGCAAUUUACUGGAUGGAAAAUCUGGUUUGAAAUACAUUACAUACUAUGAUAUAAUUAUAUGCUGAACUGCUCAGUAUGAACAACUUAAUGUUUUUUGGAAUAAUUGUAAACAGAAAAAGUACUGACUUGGCGUUUUGUCUAUGAUAGCAUUUGGUCACACGUGAGUGCUACUGUAUUAAACAGCUACGGUACAGUACAGUACAGUGACUGUUCAUUACAAAUCUGUGGUCCAAAAUCUCAGCAUAAAUCCUCUACCAAUUAUUCCAUAGCUCUGUCAGCCCUCUCACGGUUCACUUAAAGUACACUGAGCAGAAAGAACAUUCCUGUCAGAGCAUCUGUUUAGUAGAGCACUACACAUCUCUAGGUUCAGACCAGAGAGAUUUAGGUUUUGACAAGAGACACAGAUGUUGAAGGUUGUAGUAGCCUGAAGGAGGGAAGGAGAAGCGAAGGAGGGAGGGAAGAAUAGUUGGAGGGAGGGAAGAAGAGUAGGAGGGAGAGAAGAAGAGUAGGAGGGAGGGAAGAAGAGUAGUAGGGAGAGAAGAAGAGAAGGAGGGAGAGAAGAAGAGUAGGAGGGAGAGAAGAAGAGUAGGAGGGAGGGAAGAAGAGUAGGAGGGAGAGAAGAAGAGUAGGAGGGAGGGAAGAAGAGUAGGAGGGAGGGAAGAUGAGUAGGAGAGAAGUAGGAGGGGGGAAGAAAAGUAGGAGGGAGAGAAGAAGAUUAGGAGGGAAAGAAGAAGAGUAGGAGGGAAGUAGGAGGGAGAGAAGAAGAGUAGGAGGGGGAGAAGAAGAGUAGAAGGGAGGGAAGAAAAGUAGGAGGGAGAGAAGAAGUGUAAGAGGAAUGAAGAGUAGGAGGGAGAGAAGAGGAGUAGGAGGGGGAGAAGAAGAGUAGGAGGGAGUGAAGAAGAGUAGGAGGGAUUGAAGAAGAGUAGGAGGGAAGGGAGAAGAGUAGGAGGGAAGGAAGAAGGGUAGGAGGGAGAGAAGAAGAGGAGGAAGGAGGGAAGAAGAGGACGAGGGAGAGAAGAAAAGUAGGAGGGAGAGAAGAAGGGUAGGAGGGAGAGAAGAAGAGGAGGCAGGAAACAUAGAGAGAGUUUGGAAAACACUGUAAAGAGGGAAAUGGUGGUGUACAUAGUGCAGAUGAACGCACGCUGUAUGACGUAAGACAAUGGGUUCUGAUGAGAGUAUUUAUUACAGUAAUUAAACCGCAGAGAGGCCUUGAUGAUGGUUAUUAAGGUAAAUACAUCACUCAGACCCAGGCCACAUCUUGGUUCUGAUGAGGACACAGUAGGGUUGUGAAUGUCUGGGAAGAACAGAGAGUCUGAGUUAAUAAGGUGCCCGUUAAUGGACCGGGGGAAAACAGUGGUUGCUAAGGUGACUGUUAAUAGAGCUCUGUAUAAACUAAUCAAUGAGCCGGGAGGAGAUCCUGUCUCUCAGUAGAUUAGAUCACACUAAUACAGUAUGUGAAUGUCUCUGUUCCUCUCUGGCUGCCUGUCCAGUCUAUGGCAUGGUCCUCUCAGUGGCAGACCAGAGGAGGAUGGCUGUGUCGAGGUUUUUCCUUGCUCUAUGUUUGCUCUUUUGGGUGUUUAAGUCUCAGACACGCAUUACAUUAAUGGAUUUAUUAUAAUAAUAGACUGUGACAGAUUGAGAUGUAUUAACUAACUGGUUUCAUCCAUGUACUUACUUCCGUAUCCCAGUCAGAGCCUCCAGUACAUCUCCUUCCAGCUGUCCCUCCAGAUCCUCCAUCACCUUCUGGACCAC
This 1990-nucleotide long non-coding RNA is filed under the name Salmo salar (Atlantic salmon). RNAcentral describes it as "lncRNA (ENSSSAG00000110605.1, ENSSSAG00000120209.1)". The record is from RNAcentral. Lineage: Eukaryota; Metazoa; Chordata; Actinopteri; Salmoniformes; Salmonidae.